GCUGGCGGCAUGCCUAACACAUGCAAGUCGAACGCGAAAGCCUUCGGGUGAGUAGAGUGGCGGACGGGUGAGUAAUGCGUGGGGAUCUGCCCUGUAGUGGGGAACAACCCGGGGAAACUCGGGCUAAUACCGCAUACGUCCUACGGGAGAAAGGGGGCCUUCGGGCUCUCGCUGCAGGAUGAGCCCACGUCCGAUUAGCUUGUUGGUGGGGUAACGGCCUACCAAGGCGACGAUCGGUAGCUGGUCUGAGAGGAUGACCAGCCACACUGGGACUGAGACACGGACCAGACUCCUACGGGAGGCAGCAGUGGGGAAUAUUGGACAAUGGGCGAAAGCCUGAUCCAAGCAAUGCCGCGUGUGUGAAGAAGGCCUGCGGGUUGUAAAGCACUUACAGUGGGGAAGAAAAGCCAAGGGUUAAUACCCCUAGGUCUAGACGUUACCCACAGAAGAAGCACCGGCUAACUCCGUGACCAGCAGCCGCGGUAAUACGGAGGGUGCAAGCGUUAAUCGGAAUUACUGGGCGUAAAGCGCACGUAGGCGGUGAGGUCAGUCAGAUGUGAAAGCCCA
Molecule: ribosomal RNA, 567 nt
Filed under: uncultured organism
Description: bacterial SSU rRNA
Rfam family: Bacterial small subunit ribosomal RNA
Source: RNAcentral